This 420-nucleotide ribosomal RNA is filed under the name uncultured archaeon. Its description in RNAcentral is "bacterial SSU rRNA". It matches the Rfam family "Archaeal small subunit ribosomal RNA", at positions 396 to 814 of the family's 1478-position model. The record is from RNAcentral.
UACAAAUCUGGCUGUCGAGAUGCCUAAAAAGCAUUUCAUAGCAAGGGCCGGGCAAGACCGGUGCCAGCCGCCGCGGUAACACCGGCGGCUCGAGUGGUAACCGUUAUUAUUGGGUCUAAAGGGUCUGUAGCCGGCCGGAUAAGUCUCUUGAGAAAUCUGGCAGCUUAACUGUCAGGCUUUCAGGAGAUACUGUCUGGCUCGAGGCCGGGAGAGGUGAGAGGUACUUCAGGGGUAGGGGUGAAAUCUUGUAAUCCUUGAAGGACCACCAGUGGCGAAGGCGUCUCACCAGAACGGACCUGACGGCAAGGGACGAAAGCUAGGGGCACGAACCGGAUUAGAUACCCGGGUAGUCCUAGCCGUAAACGAUACUCGCUAGGUGUCGGCCACGGUGCGACCGUUGUCGGUGCCGUAGGGAAGCCG